Molecule: ribosomal RNA, 508 nt
Filed under: Penicillium expansum
Lineage: Eukaryota; Fungi; Ascomycota; Eurotiomycetes; Eurotiales; Aspergillaceae
Description: eukaryotic LSU rRNA
Rfam family: 5.8S ribosomal RNA (bases 181-333)
Source: RNAcentral
CAUUACCGAGUGAGGGCCCUUUGGGUCCAACCUCCCACCCGUGUUUAUUUACCUCGUUGCUUCGGCGGGCCCGCCUUAACUGGCCGCCGGGGGGCUCACGCCCCCGGGCCCGCGCCCGCCGAAGACACCCCCGAACUCUGCCUGAAGAUUGUCGUCUGAGUGAAAAUAUAAAUUAUUUAAAACUUUCAACAACGGAUCUCUUGGUUCCGGCAUCGAUGAAGAACGCAGCGAAAUGCGAUACGUAAUGUGAAUUGCAAAUUCAGUGAAUCAUCGAGUCUUUGAACGCACAUUGCGCCCCCUGGUAUUCCGGGGGGCAUGCCUGUCCGAGCGUCAUUGCUGCCCUCAAGCCCGGCUUGUGUGUUGGGCCCCGUCCUCCGAUUCCGGGGGACGGGCCCGAAAGGCAGCGGCGGCACCGCGUCCGGUCCUCGAGCGUAUGGGGCUUUGUCACCCGCUCUGUAGGCCCGGCCGGCGCUUGCCGAUCAACCCAAAUUUUUAUCCAGGUUGACCU